CUGGGCCUUGAUUGGGCGCGACCUGGACUCCUGGGUGCUUAUUGGUGGCGCCAAGUGCUCGUCACUGCCACCUCCCGCCCUUGCAUGCAACGGCGCGGAGUCCGCCUGCUAGCAAGGUAGGGGAUCUCUGAAGGAAUUGCUGAUGGAAGUCCAGCAGGCCUAACUUGAAGAACACACCUUGUUUAUCUGGUCACAUUCAGUGAGACCUGAAAGAAGUUUCACAGGCCUGAUUCAAGGUGACUGCUCAGAGACCACCCAUUGAAUUCAGGAUCCGAGGUCACCCCUCCGCACUCUGUGGCACAGCGAGCAGGAUCAUCUGUUCUGGAAGCUGCAGAGAAAGGGAACCUGGAAACCUAGUAUGCUGACAGAAAGGGUAUCCAAGGUGGAGUUUCUAGCAAGCCCCAGGAGGACAAUCACAAUAUAGGUCUACAGGGUUCUGGAGCAAGACCAUACUAUCCGCAGCAGGGAAUUAGACACCUUUUGAAAAGUAGCUCCUGGAGGGCUACUAGACCCUGGCAGAGACGGAAUACUUCACCAACGGGCACCAAGUGACCACGUGUCUAGAACCGUUCGUUAUUCGUUAGGUUCUGCCUUUCAGACUCACCAAGACAUAAAGUCAAAUGGGCUUAGCAAUAAUCCAUAGUAAGAUGGAAAUGGUAUGUCCAGAACUGGGCAUGAACAGAGCUACACAGUCAGGUGGCCCAGACACAUGUCACCUGCCAUUGUGGCACCAGGGUUUCUCCCUCAGCUCACGCCUGUGGCUGCACAGGGGGCAAAGUCCCUUGUGAUCCGCUGACAGAAGAGGAAAGGCUUUGCUUUGUCUUGAUUCACAGACGGGUCAGACUGGUACGUGGGUGCAAGCCAAAAAUGAACUGUGACUACAGUACAGCCCACCACAGGCUGCUCUUGACAAACAGUGGCAAGGGAAGUUCCCCCAGUGGAUUAAUCCUCUCAGUGGUACAUGUGUUCGUCUGCUUUGUACGGAAAGACAUGUAGCCAAGGGUACACUUUGUAUUCAUUCAUGGCUACUAGCAGCUGCCUUGAUGUGUGGAUCAGGGGUCUGGAAGGAGAAGGAUGAGAUGAUCACGGACAAGGAUGUUGGGGACAGAGGCAUGUGGAUGGACUAUUUGAGUAGCUGAGAAGUGUGAAGAGGACCACCAGAGAGCAUCUACCAUGAAAGAAGCACCAAACAACCAGAUAGACAGAAUGGUUUCGCCAAUUGGAUGUCACAGAUGCCAUCAGCCACCCCAGAACUGACACAGUGGCUACAGAAGGAGCAGCUAUGGUGGCAGGGAUGGGGACAAACACACGGACCAAAUAGCAUGGGCUGUCACUCACAAGGGCUGAUGUAGCUACCGCCACUGCUGAAUGUCCAGCCUGCCAGCAAGGCAUCAGUGCUGAUCCUCGGAAAUGGCAAUGGCUCUCAAAGUGAAUAAGUAGCCACUUGAUAGUAAGUUGACUACAGUGGAUCCCUUCCAUUCUAGAAAUGGCAGAAAUUUAUUUUGACUAGAAUGGACACAUGCUUACCUUUUCUGCCGGCAGGGCCUCAGCCAACACCACUAUCUGAGGGCUUACUGAGUGUUUUACCCGCUGACAUAGGAUCCCACAUCACAUCACAUCGGACCCAAGGACCCAUUCAUUGCAUAGCCAAGGAGGCAUGACAACGGCAUGUGACCAUGGGAUCACCGGUCCUGUCACAUUCUGCACCACCCAGAAGAUACUGGCGUGAACGAAGAGAAGAAAUGGGCUGUUGAAGGCAUAGCUGAGAUGCCAGCUCAGAGAUGAUGAUACCAAGUGCGGAACCUGAGAGCAGCCCCAGUACACUCCCUGCCUGCAAAUCUCCAUCUCAAAGUCAGCCUCCAGGGAGCCCGCCCUGAAACAGAGUCUGUCGUGAGCUCUACAGAGUAUCCCUGUGCAGACAACCAGCGCUGGGCGUUAAAGCAGGGCUCUCUCCACCUGCACGGCGCUGGGGCUCUGCACACCCCUCUGCAGCCAUCCUCGCUGGUGUCCCUUAGCUGACACCCUUGCCCUCUCUGUGUCCUUCCUCAUGGCCUGCAGGUUUCAGAUCCCAAGCUACAGAUCGUGUCUUCUAGUUUGGGCUCUGGCAGAGAGUUCGGAAGCACCUGUUCGUUAUCUUAGCCGCAGCACGUGUGGAAAUCAUUUCUCAUGACCGCGGAGGGCAGGCAUUGUGCAGAGGGUUACGUGGGCCUGCUCGACGUUGGUGGUUGUUAACUCUCAUGUCUAUGCCUUGGUCCCUUUGCCUGCAGGACUUGGGGAGCAAGCUGUUUGAAUCUGAUGCAACCCCUGGGCUUCGACUAUCAUGCCAAAAGGCAGCAAAUAAGUGCCUUUUCUUCCCUUCAGAAUGCAUGGACAAUCCAAAGCUCUAUUAGUCUAUUAUUCAGAAUGAAAAGUGUUUACAAUAUUCAUCCUCUUACUCCUCAGUAUGUGAGACUGUUCCUCAUAGCAGGUAAUUUCUUCCUAAUUCAAAAACUCCUCAUGGAAGCAUCUGUUUUUGUCAUCAAGGAGGGGCUGUAUGUGGAAUUGCAAGGCCAAAGACACCGCGGCUCAACUCUUCUCAGGACCAGAUCCAAGUCGCCAGUGAGAACACACGUUCAGGCAGCCGCCACCAGCGCCCCGCCUCAGGAACGAGGCUCUCUGCUUCAUGUGGGCAAGAGUUGCCCCUGUUUUCCCAGCAGGCAGUCGGGGGUCUGGAGCCUAGGGAGCAACGUGAAACAUACACUCCUGCUUCCUUCCUUCCCUGCACUUGAGACAGGAGUCUUACUUUGUUGCCCAGGCUGGUCUCAAACUCCUGGCUUCAAACAAUCCUUCUGCCUCGGCCUUCCAAAGUGCUGGGAUUACAGGCAUGAGCCACCGUGCCCAGCCUCCUUCCCUUACUAGCUGAGAACUAAGAGAAGACACUGGAGACAGAGGAGGAAAUAAUGGCGACGCCACGCGAUGAAUACAUCAUGGAGGAUGAAGACAAGGCUCCGUCAGGGGCACCAGCGAGGGAAGCCCAGUUCUGUGGGGAAGGUAUGGGGCGGCUUCACAAGCCCAGUGUCUGCUCUCUUUGUGGGAGAUGUGUUGUUUUGGCAUCCAUUCCCCCUUCUUUUAGGAAAAGUGCUUGAAUUUCCUUUUUAGGAACCACCCACCAUCCUCUCAUCCAUGCAUUCUGUUCCUGGCAUCAGGGGUAGACAAGUGACUGCAGGCCUGGCCAGUUAGGGUUCUGACUCCUGGUCAAAUCGGAGUGAAUCCUGAGUCAUUUGUAAACUCCAAGGAAAGGGCUUGCUUUGUUUUCUGUUGAAUGCAGUGCUGUGAGAUAACCGGAAAUGAAGCUGCUUUCUUGCCACAGUGAAGGCAACAAAAGGGCCUGGCCGGCAAAUGAUGCCAGUGAUCGGGGUGGAGCUGGAAGAGGGGGAGCGAGGAGGCCCAGACAUCUUGGGGGCCCCAAAUUCACCUCAGGAUUUAACUUCUCUGCUGCUCAGCCAAUUAACUCCUUUCUUCCAUGAC
This is a long non-coding RNA of Rhinopithecus roxellana (golden snub-nosed monkey), 3507 nucleotides long. RefSeq lists it as uncharacterized. Lineage: Eukaryota; Metazoa; Chordata; Mammalia; Primates; Cercopithecidae. The record is from RefSeq and is a predicted model, not a curated record. The transcript has 6 exons.